UUUAUUUUGCAGGAUAUGGGCGAGUUCUGGUGACCUAGACAGGUUAUACGCACAACAGGUAGCAAAAUUCAGGGCCUGAUUAACCUGCAAAUUUUCGUGGUGAAAGCUGAAAGGGUGAUAACUCUCUGGAAAAGUUUGGGGGAUCUGUCAGUCGCCUAACACCUGUAUAGUAUGUAUACCUGCUUGUAAUGAUUUUGAGGGAAAGUCUGUUGCUAGUUCGUCAGAUUUAAACUAAAUAAAUCAUGACACUUGUAUUUAUGCGACUCGGAGCACCGCAAUCAUCUCGCUGCACUGCAGAGAUAGGAAGCGCAGCGUCCAGGAAGGCUGCUCUGAUUGAAGCACCAGGGAAUGAAAAAGGACCUUGACAGCAAUAUAGCGGAGGCGCCGAAGGAGUGGAAGAAGACCUUCAGGUCGGUGAACAGCAUUACCAUGCGCCUACCCUGCUUCAAGGACGGCCAUCAGGGACAUCAGAGACAUCUUGAACAUCUGUUCGAUGUAUUAUUCCAUGGCUUCAGAUUGGCUGGAGAAAUAUGGUAGCUCCAACAGGACAAUCGAGCUGAGUAGUUUCAUGAGUAGGCUCCAGGUUGAGAUGUCAGAGAAGGAGGCCGAUCGACGACCAGUGUAACGUGUAAUUCAAUUCAGGCUCCCCCUAGUGUUUGUUUGUCAAAAUGUAACAAACCACCAGUUGCAAGUUAAACCAAGUUCUGGGGCAACAUGUAAUUCAAUUUAGGGGCAA
This is a non-coding RNA of Lolium perenne, 736 nucleotides long. The record is from RefSeq and is a predicted model, not a curated record. NCBI's taxonomy places the organism in Eukaryota, Viridiplantae, Streptophyta, Magnoliopsida, Poales, Poaceae.